RNAcentral lists this ribosomal RNA (253 nucleotides) under uncultured bacterium. RNAcentral's name for it is "partial 16S ribosomal RNA". It matches the Rfam family "Bacterial small subunit ribosomal RNA", at positions 524 to 776 of the family's 1533-position model. The record is from RNAcentral.
GCCGAACCGUGCGAGCGUUGUUCGGAUUCAUUGGGCGUAAAGGGUGCGUAGGCGGCGCGGUAAGUCGGGUGUGAAAUCUUGGAGCUUAACUCCGAAACUGCAUUCGAUACUGCCGUGCUUGAGGACUGGAGAGGAGACUGGAAUUUACGGUGUAGCGGUGAAAUGCGUAGAUAUCGUAAGGAAGACCAGUGGCGAAGGCGGGUCUCUGGACAGUUCCUGACGCUGAGGCACGAAGGCCAGGGGAGCAAACGGG